This 754-nucleotide ribosomal RNA is filed under the name uncultured bacterium. Its description in RNAcentral is "bacterial SSU rRNA". It matches the Rfam family "Bacterial small subunit ribosomal RNA", at positions 8 to 750 of the family's 1533-position model. The record is from RNAcentral.
AGACUUUGAUCAUGGCUCAGGAUGAACGCUAGCGGCAGGCUUAACACAUGCAAGUCGAACGGUAACAUAGAUUGCUUGCAAUCUGAUGACGAGUGGCGCACGGGUGAGUAACGCGUAUACAAUUUACCUAUCACAGGGGUAUAGCUCGAAGAAAUUUGAAUUAAUCCCCCAUGGUAUAUAUGAUUGGCAUCAAUUAUAUAUUAAAGUUUCGGCGGUGAUAGAUGAGUAUGCGUCCUAUUAGUUAGUUGGUAAGGUAACGGCUUACCAAGGCGACGAUAGGUAGGGGUCCUGAGAGGGAGAUCCCCCACACUGGUACUGAGACACGGACCAGACUCCUACGGGAGGCAGCAGUGAGGAAUAUUGGACAAUGGAGGUAACUCUGAUCCAGCCAUGCCGCGUGCAGGAAGACUGCCCUAUGGGUUGUAAACUGCUUUUAUACAGGAAGAAUAAUGAGUACGUGUACUCAGAUGACGGUACUGUAAGAAUAAGCAUCGGCUAACUCCGUGCCAGCAGCCGCGGUAAUACGGAGGAUGCAAGCGUUAUCCGGAAUCAUUGGGUUUUAAAGGGUCCGUAGGCGGGUAAAUAAGUCAGUGGUGAAAGUCUGUCGCUUAACGAUAGAAUUGCAUUUGAUUACUGUUUAUCUAGAGUUAUUAUGAAGUGGUUAGAAUGGGUAGCUGUAGCGGUGAAAUGCCAUAGAUUUUACUCAGAAUACCGAUUGCGAAGGCAGAUCAUUAAUAAUAUACUGACGCUUGAU